AUUGGACGCUGGCGGCAUGCUUAACACAUGCAAGUCGAACGGUAACAGGCCCUUCGGGGUGCUGACGAGUGGCGGACGGGUGAGUAAUGCUUAGGAAUCUGCCUAGUAGUGGGGGAUAACCCGGGGAAACUCGGGCUAAUACCGCAUACGCCUACGGGGAAGGCGGGGACGUUCGGCCGUCGCGCUAUUAGAUGAGCCUAA
RNAcentral lists this ribosomal RNA (201 nucleotides) under uncultured bacterium. RNAcentral describes it as "partial 16S ribosomal RNA". It matches the Rfam family "Bacterial small subunit ribosomal RNA", at positions 30 to 234 of the family's 1533-position model. The record is from RNAcentral.